ACGGGGUGCAGCAGGCGCGAAAACUUUACAAUGCGGGAAACCGCGAUAAGGGGAUACCGAGUGCCAGCAUAUUAUGUUGGCUGUCCACAUGUGUAAACGGCAUGUGUUAGCAAGGGCCGGGCAAGACCGGUGCCAGCCGCCGCGGUAACACCGGCGGCCCGAGUGGUAAUCAUUUUUAUUGGGUCUAAAGGGUCCGUAGCCGGUUUGAUCAGUUCUUCGGGAAAUCUGACAGCUCAACUGUUAGGCUUCCGGGGAAUACUGUCAGACUUGGGACCGGGAGAGGUAAGAGGUACUACAGGGGUAGGAGUGAAAUCUUGUAAUCCCUGUGGGACCACCAGUGGCGAAGGCGUCUUACCAGAACGGGUCCGACGGUGAGGGACGAAAGCUGGGGGCACGAACCGGAUUAGAUACCCGGGUAGUCCCAGCCGUAAACGAUGUUCGCUAGGUGUCAGGGACGGUGCGACCGUUUCUGGUGCCGUAGGGAAGCCGUGAAGCGAACCACCUGGGAAGUACGGCCGCAAGGCUGAAACUUAAAGGAAUUGGCGGGGGAGCAC
This 554-nucleotide ribosomal RNA is filed under the name uncultured archaeon. RNAcentral describes it as "bacterial SSU rRNA". It matches the Rfam family "Archaeal small subunit ribosomal RNA", at positions 325 to 879 of the family's 1478-position model. The record is from RNAcentral.